This 772-nucleotide ribosomal RNA is filed under the name Vagococcus salmoninarum. RNAcentral describes it as "bacterial SSU rRNA". It matches the Rfam family "Bacterial small subunit ribosomal RNA", at positions 77 to 832 of the family's 1533-position model. The record is from RNAcentral. Lineage: Bacteria; Bacillati; Bacillota; Bacilli; Lactobacillales; Enterococcaceae.
AGCUUGCUCUUUAACCUAGUGAGUGGCGGACGGGUGAGUAACACGUGGGUAACCUGCCCAUUAGAGGGGGAUAACACUUGGAAACAGGUGCUAAUACCGCAUAAUUGUUUUAGCCGCAUGGCUGAGAUAUGAAAGACGCUUUCGGGUGUCACUAAUGGAUGGACCCGCGCUGCAUUAGUUAGUUGGUGAGGUAAUGGCUCACCAAGACCGUGAUGCAUAGCCGACCUGAGAGGGUGAUCGGCCACACUGGGACUGAGACACGGCCCAGACUCCUACGGGAGGCAGCAGUAGGGAAUCUUCGGCAAUGGACGAAAGUCUGACCGAGCAACGCCGCGUGAGUGAAGAAGGUUUUCGGAUCGUAAAACUCUGUUGUUAGAGAAGAACAAGUGGGAGAGUAACUGUUCCCACCUUGACGGUAUCUAACCAGAAAGCCACGGCUAACUACGUGCCAGCAGCCGCGGUAAUACGUAGGUGGCAAGCGUUGUCCGGAUUUAUUGGGCGUAAAGCGAGCGCAGGUGGUUCUUUAAGUCUGAUGUGAAAGCCCCCGGCUCACCCGGGGAGGGUCAUUGGAAACUGGGGAACUUGAGUGCAGAAAAGGAGAGUGGAAUUCCAUGUGUAGCGGUGAAAUGCGUAGAUUUAUGGAGGAACACCAGUGGCGAAGGCGACUCUCUGGUCUGUAACUGACACUGAGGCUCGAAAGCGUGGGGAGCAACAGGAUUAGAUACCCUGGUAGUCCACGCCGUACACGAUGAGUGCUAAGUGUUGGAGGGUU